UGGGGAAUAUUGGACAAUGGGCGCANCCNUGAUCCAGCCAUACCGCGUGGGUGAAGAAGGCCUUCGGGUUGUAAAGCCCUUUUGUUGGGAAAGAAAUCCAGCCGGCUAAUACCUGGUUGGGAUGACGGUACCCAAAGAAUAAGCACCGGCUAACUUCGUGCCAGCAGCCGCGGUAAUACGAAGGGUGCAAGCGUUACUCGGAAUUACUGGGCGUAAAGCGUGCGUAGGUGGUCGUUUAAGUCCGUUGUGAAAGCCCUGGGCUCAACCUGGGAACUGCAGUGGAUACUGGGCGACUAGAGUGUGGUAGAGGGUAGCGGAAUUCCUGGUGUAGCAGUGAAAUGCGUAUAGAUCAGGAGGAACAUCCAUGGCGAAGGAAGCUACCUGGACCAACACUGACACUGAGGCACGAAAGCGUGGGGAGCAAACAGGAUUAGAUACCCUGGUAGUCCACGCCCUAAACGAUGCAAACUGGAUGUUGGGUGCAAUUUGGCACGCAGUAUCGAAGCUNACGCGUUAAAGUUCGCCGCCUGGGGAGUACGGUCGCAAGACUG
Molecule: ribosomal RNA, 551 nt
Filed under: uncultured bacterium
Lineage: Bacteria
Description: bacterial SSU rRNA
Rfam family: Bacterial small subunit ribosomal RNA
Source: RNAcentral